Molecule: ribosomal RNA, 301 nt
Filed under: uncultured bacterium
Lineage: Bacteria
Description: partial 16S ribosomal RNA
Rfam family: Bacterial small subunit ribosomal RNA
Source: RNAcentral
CAGUCGCCGCGGUAAUACGAAGGGGGCUAGCGUUGUUCGGAUUUACUGGGCGUAAAGCGCACGUAGGCGGAUCGAUCAGUCAGGGGUGAAAUCCCAGAGCUCAACCUGGGGGCUGCGCUUGAUACUUGGUUGCUUGAGUGGGGAAGAGGGUCGUGGAAUUCCCAGUGUAGAGGUGAAAUUCGUAGAUAUUGGGAAGAACACCGGUGGCGAAGGCGGCGACCUGGUCCUUGACUGACGCUGAGGCGCGAAAGCGUGGGGAGCAAACAGGAUUAGAGACCCCGGUAGUCCCUGUCUCUUAUAA